UACGUAGGGUGCAAGCGUUGUCCGGAAUUAUUGGGCGUAAAGAGCUCGUAGGCGGUUUGUCGCGUCUGCUGUGAAAACCUAAGGCUCAACCUUGGGCUUGCAGUGGGUACGGGCAGACUAGAGUGCGGUAGGGGUGACUGGAAUUCCUGGUGUAGCGGUGGAAUGCGCAGAUAUCAGGAGGAACACCGAUGGCGAAGGCAGAUCUCUGGGCCGUAACUGGACGCUGGAGGAAGCGAAAGCGUGGGGAGCGAACAGG
RNAcentral lists this ribosomal RNA (256 nucleotides) under uncultured bacterium. RNAcentral describes it as "partial 16S ribosomal RNA". It matches the Rfam family "Bacterial small subunit ribosomal RNA", at positions 524 to 776 of the family's 1533-position model. The record is from RNAcentral.